UGGUGAAGCGAUUUGUCUGGUUAAUUCCGAUAACGAACGAGACUCUGGCCUAUUAAAUAGUUCGCCGAUUCCGAUCUGUCGGCGUUAACUUCUUAGAGGGACAAGUGGCUUUUAGCCACGCGAGAUUGAGCAAUAACA
Molecule: ribosomal RNA, 138 nt
Filed under: uncultured eukaryote
Lineage: Eukaryota
Description: partial 18S ribosomal RNA
Rfam family: Eukaryotic small subunit ribosomal RNA
Source: RNAcentral